Molecule: ribosomal RNA, 555 nt
Filed under: uncultured bacterium
Lineage: Bacteria
Description: partial 16S ribosomal RNA
Rfam family: Bacterial small subunit ribosomal RNA
Source: RNAcentral
UGGGGAAUUUUGGACAACGGGGGAAACCCUGAUCCAGCCAUCCCGCGUGUGCGAUGAAGGCCUUCGGGUUGUAAAGCACUUUUGGCAGGAAAGAAACGUCGCGGGUUAAUACCCCGCGAAACUGACGGUACCUGCAGAAUAAGCACCGGCUAACUACGUGCCAGCAGCCGCGGUAAUACGUAGGGUGCAAGCGUUAAUCGGAAUUACUGGGCGUAAAGCGUGCGCAGGCGGUUCGGAAAGAAAGAUGUGAAAUCCCAGAGCUUAACUUUGGAACUGCAUUUUUAACUACCGGGCUAGAGUGUGUCAGAGGGAGGUGGAAUUCCGCGUGUAGCAGCGAAAUGCGUAGAUAUGCGGAGGAACACCGAUGGCGAAGGCAGCCUCCUGGGAUAACACUGACGCUCAUGCACGAAAGCGUGGGGAGCAAACAGGAUUAGAUACCCUGGUAGUCCACGCCCUAAACGAUGUCAACUAGCUGUUGGGGCCUUCGGGCCUUGGUAGCGCAGCUAACGCGUGAAGUUGACCGCCUGGGGGAGUACGGUCGCAAGAUUAAAACUU